GACGAACGCUGGCGGCGUGCUUAACACAUGCAAGUCGAACGGAAAGGCCCUGCUUUUGUAGGGUGCUCGAGUGGCGAACGGGUGAGUAACACGUGAGUAACCUGCCCUUGACUUUGGGAUAACUUCAGGAAACUGGGGCUAAUACCGGAUAGGAGCUCCUGCUGCAUGGUGGGGGUUGGAAAGUUUCGGCGGUUGGGGAUGGACUCGCGGCUUAUCAGCUUGUUGGUGGGGUAGUGGCUUACCAAGGCUUUGACGGGUAGCCGGCCUGAGAGGGUGACCGGCCACAUUGGGACUGAGAUACGGCCCAGACUCCUACGGGAGGCAGCAGUGGGGAAUAUUGCACAAUGGGCGGAAGCCUGAUGCAGCAACGCCGCGUGCGGGAUGACGGCCUUCGGGUUGUAAACCGCUUUCGCCUGUGACGAAGCGUGAGUGACGGUAAUGGGUAAAGAAGCACCGGCUAACUACGUG
RNAcentral lists this ribosomal RNA (468 nucleotides) under uncultured bacterium. RNAcentral describes it as "partial 16S ribosomal RNA". It matches the Rfam family "Bacterial small subunit ribosomal RNA", at positions 28 to 507 of the family's 1533-position model. The record is from RNAcentral.